RNAcentral lists this unclassified non-coding RNA (329 nucleotides) under soil metagenome. RNAcentral describes it as "partial contains 5.8S ribosomal RNA, internal transcribed spacer 2, and large subunit ribosomal RNA". The stretch from base 1 to 120 matches the Rfam family "5.8S ribosomal RNA", at positions 35 to 154 of the family's 154-position model. The record is from RNAcentral.
GAUGAAGAACGUAGCGAAAUGCGAUAAGUAAUGUGAAUUGCAGAAUUCAGUGAAUCAUCGAAUCUUUGAACGCACCUUGCACCCUUUGGUAUUCCGGGGGGCAUGCCUGUUCGAGCGUCAUUACAACCCUCAAGCUCUGCUUGGUCUUGGGCGUCACCGGUCCCCGGUGUGCCUUAAAAUCAGUGGCGGCGCCAUCUGGCUCUAAGCGUAGUACAUACUCUCGCUACAGACGUCCGGUGGAUGCUGGCCAGCAACCCCCAAUUUAUCAAGGUUGACCUCGGAUCAGGUAGGGAUACCCGCUGAACUUAAGCAUAUCAAUAAGCGGAGGA